This 427-nucleotide unclassified non-coding RNA is filed under the name soil metagenome. RNAcentral describes it as "partial contains 5.8S ribosomal RNA, internal transcribed spacer 2, and large subunit ribosomal RNA". The stretch from base 1 to 120 matches the Rfam family "5.8S ribosomal RNA", at positions 35 to 154 of the family's 154-position model. The record is from RNAcentral.
GAUGAAGAACUUAGCGAAAUGCGAUAAGUAAUGUGAAUUGCAGAUUUCAGUGAAUCAUCGAAUCUUUGAACGCACCUUGCGCCUUGUGGUAUUCCACAAGGCAUGCCCGUUUGAGUAUCAUUAAAUCAUCAACUCUAAAACCUUUGUGGUUUUUUUUAGAGCUUGGUCUUGAGGGUUUUGCAGGCUUUUUUUUUUUUUUCGAGUCUGCUCCCUUUAAAUGCAUUAGCGAGACUUCCCUAUGCUGAACCGUCUCUUUGACGUGAUAAUUAUCUGCGUCGAAUUUUGGUUCUCGUUGGGCUUGCUUCUAAUCGUCUGUUAAAGACAAAACGGAUUUGGGUGCAUAUAUGCGCCUUUUUCCAAAACCUUUUUUUGAUCUCAAAUCGGGUAGGACUACCCGCUGAACUUAAGCAUAUCAAUAAGCGGAGGA